Molecule: transfer RNA, 69 nt
Filed under: Ictidomys tridecemlineatus (thirteen-lined ground squirrel)
Lineage: Eukaryota; Metazoa; Chordata; Mammalia; Rodentia; Sciuridae
Description: Spermophilus tridecemlineatus (thirteen-lined ground squirrel) tRNA
Rfam family: tRNA
About the family: Transfer RNA (tRNA) molecules are approximately 80 nucleotides in length. Their secondary structure includes four short double-helical elements and three loops (D, anti-codon, and T loops).
Source: Rfam by way of RNAcentral
GGAGCUGUGGCUCAGUGGUAGAGCGCCUGCCUUGCAUGUGUGAGGCACUGGGUUCGAUCCCCAGCACCA